UCGGCAAGAUCCCGACGUCCAUGAGUUUCCUGGUGUCAAAGAGCCGCCCGUUCGAUGACCUCCCAGCAUCCGUGAGCAUCUUGACGUUGAAUUCUGUCGAAUCAGCAGCCUCGGUGGUCUUCGGCUACCCUCCCUGCAUCCGCAUGCAUUUCUGACCUAAGCUCCACUAGAUUGGUGACCCCCGCCACAUCCGGCUCUCUUGCUCGCAUUGCGCGCACUCUCGGAACCAGGCUCCACCG
RNAcentral lists this long non-coding RNA (239 nucleotides) under Elaeis guineensis (African oil palm). RNAcentral describes it as "long non-coding RNA (EGUI_LNC028808)". The record is from RNAcentral. Lineage: Eukaryota; Viridiplantae; Streptophyta; Magnoliopsida; Arecales; Arecaceae.